This 279-nucleotide long non-coding RNA is filed under the name Rattus norvegicus (Norway rat). RNAcentral describes it as "long non-coding RNA NONRATT025096". Lineage: Eukaryota; Metazoa; Chordata; Mammalia; Rodentia; Muridae. The record is from RNAcentral.
GGGAGACAGGGCUCUUGGGUGGGGUGAGUGAGGAACCUUCCCCAGCUAGCGACUGGCCUCUCCUGGGUGCAUCUUCACCAUGACCAUUUUCUCUUUCAUUGAAGUGUCCCCGGACAGGAGAGCUGCUAGAAUCGUAUCCAGGAACUGAAGAAUGCAGGAGCUGCUGAAUCCAUGUGAUCCAAAGCUUGUAUUGUCUUAAAACAACAAAUGGUCCAGACACCCUCCUGUCCCCCAAUAUUCACUUUACACUCUUGUGUUUUGGAAGAAACCAGUAUCAAA